This 254-nucleotide ribosomal RNA is filed under the name uncultured prokaryote. Its description in RNAcentral is "partial 16S ribosomal RNA". It matches the Rfam family "Bacterial small subunit ribosomal RNA", at positions 524 to 777 of the family's 1533-position model. The record is from RNAcentral.
UACGGAGGAUGCAAGCGUUAUCCGGAUUUAUUGGGUUUAAAGGGUGCGCAGGUUGUUUGAUAAGUCAGUGGUGAAAGUCUGUCGCUUAACGGUAGGAUUGCCAUUGAUACUGUUAGACUUGAAUAUGGAUGAGGUAGGCGGAAUGUGUAGUGUAGCGGUGAAAUGCAUAGAUAUUACACAGAACACCGAUUGCGAAGGCAGCUUACUAAUCCAUCAUCGACGCUGAGGCACGAAAGCGUGGGGAUCAAACAGGA